RNAcentral lists this ribosomal RNA (407 nucleotides) under uncultured bacterium. Its description in RNAcentral is "partial 16S ribosomal RNA". It matches the Rfam family "Bacterial small subunit ribosomal RNA", at positions 30 to 526 of the family's 1533-position model. The record is from RNAcentral.
AUUGAACGCUGGCGGCAGGCCUAACACAUGCAAGUCGAGCGGAACGGCGGGCGGGUGAGUAAUGACUAAGUAUCUGCCUGGUAGUGGGAGAUAACGUCCGGAAACGGGCGCUAAUACCGCCUACUCUCCGUUGAACCUAGGCCGGAUUAGCUAGUUGGUGAGGUAAAGGCCUACCAAGUCGACGAUCCCUAACUGGUCUGAGUGGAUGAUCAGUCACACUGGAACUGAGACACGGUCCAGACUCCUACGUGAGGCAGCAGUGGGGAAUAUUGGACAAUGGGCGCAAGCCUGAUCCAGCCAUGCCGCGUGUGUGAAGAAGGUCUUCGGAUUGUAAAGAACUUUAAGUUGGGAGGCGUUACCAACAGAAUAAGCACCGGCUAACUUCGUGCCAGCAGCCGCGGUAAUAC